RNAcentral lists this unclassified non-coding RNA (253 nucleotides) under uncultured Enterobacteriaceae bacterium. RNAcentral describes it as "contains 16S-23S intergenic spacer region". It matches the Rfam family "Bacterial small subunit ribosomal RNA", at positions 524 to 776 of the family's 1533-position model. The record is from RNAcentral. Lineage: Bacteria; Pseudomonadati; Pseudomonadota; Gammaproteobacteria; Enterobacterales; Enterobacteriaceae.
UACGGCGGGUGCAAGCGCUAAUCGGAAUUACUGGGCGUAACGCGCACGCAGGCGGUCAGUCAAGUCGGAUGUGAAGUCCCCGGGCUCAACCUGGGAACUGCAUCCGAAACUGGCAGGCUAGAGUCUUGUAGAGGGGGGUAGAAUUCAAGGUGUAGCGGUGAAAUGCGUAGAGAUCUGGAGGAAUACCGGUGGCGGAGGCGGCCACCUGGACAAAGACUGACGCUCAGGUGCGAAAGCGUGGGGAGCAAACAGG